This 912-nucleotide ribosomal RNA is filed under the name uncultured archaeon. Its description in RNAcentral is "bacterial SSU rRNA". It matches the Rfam family "Archaeal small subunit ribosomal RNA", at positions 1 to 922 of the family's 1478-position model. The record is from RNAcentral.
UUCCGGUUGAUCCUGCCRGACCCGACUGCUAUCAGAGUAGGACUAAGCCAUGCGAGUCAACGCCGCAAGGCGUGGCAUACGGCUCAGUAACACGUAGUCAACAUGCCCAAAGGACGUGGAUAACCUCGGGAAACUGAGGAUAAACCGCGAUAGGCCAAGGUUUCUGGAAUGAUCCCUGGCCGAAAUCUAUAUGGCCUUUGGAUUGGACUGCGGCCGAUCAGGCUGUUGGUGAGGUAAUGGCCCACCAAACCUGUAACCGGUACGGGCUUUGAGAGAAGGAGCCCGGAGAUGGGCACUGAGACAAGGGCCCAGGCCCUAUGGGGCGCAGCAGGCGCGAAACCUCUGCAAUAGGCGAAAGCCUGACAGGGUUACUCUGAGUGAUGCCCGCUAAGGGUAUCUUUUGGCACCUCUAAAAAUGGUGCAGAAUAAGGGGUGGGCAAGUCUGGUGUCAGCCGCCGCGGUAAUACCAGCACCCCGAGUUGUCGGGACGAUUAUUGGGCCUAAAGCAUCCGUAGCCUGUUCUGCAAGUCCUCCGUUAAAUCCACCUGCUCAACGGAUGGGCCGCGGAGGAUACCGCAGAGCUAGGAGGCGGGAGAGGCAAACGGUACUCAGUGGGUAGGGGUAAAAUCCAUUGAUCUACUGAAGACCACCAGUGGCGAAGGCGGUUUGCCAGAACGCGCUCGACGGUGAGGGAUGAAAGCUGGGGGAGCAAACCGGAUUAGAUACCCGGGUAGUCCCAGCUGUAAACGAUGCAGACUCGGUGAUGGGUUGGCCUCGAGCCAACCCAGUGCCGCAGGGAAGCCGUUAAGUCUGCCGCCUGGGGAGUACGGUCGCAAGACUGAAACUUAAAAGAAUUGGCGGGGGAGCACCACAAGGGGUGAAGCCUGCGGUUCAAUUGGAUUCAACGCCGGA